This 233-nucleotide ribosomal RNA is filed under the name uncultured bacterium. RNAcentral's name for it is "partial 16S ribosomal RNA". It matches the Rfam family "Bacterial small subunit ribosomal RNA", at positions 103 to 334 of the family's 1533-position model. The record is from RNAcentral.
CGGGUGAGUAACGCGUGAGGAACCUGCCUCAAAGAGGGGGACAACAGUUGGAAACGACUGCUAAUACCGCAUAAGCCCACGGCUCGGCAUCGAGCAGAGGGAAAAGGAGCAAUCCGCUUUGAGAUGGCCUCGCGUCCGAUUAGCUAGUUGGUGAGGUAACGGCCCACCAGGGCGACGAUCGGUAGCCGGACUGAGAGGUUGAACGGCCACAUUGGGACUGAGACACGGCCCAG